GAUGAACGCUGGCGGCGUGCCUAAUACAUGCAAGUCGAGCGAACGGACGAGAAGCUUGCUUCUCUGAUGUUAGCGGCGGUCGGGUAAGUAACACGUGGAUAACCUACCUAUAAGACUGGGAUAACUUCGGGAAACCGGAGCUAAUACCGGAUAAUAUUUUGAACCGCAUGGUUCAAAAGUGAAAGACGGUCUUGCUGUCACUUAUAGAUGGAUCCGCGCUGCAUUAGCUAGUUGGUAAGGUAACGGCUUACCAAGGCAACGAUGCAUAGCCGACCUGAGAGGGUGAUCGGCCACACUGGAACUGAGACACGGUCCAGACUCCUACGGGAGGCAGCAGUAGGGAAUCUUCCGCAAUGGGCGAAAGCCUGACGGAGCAACGCCGCGUGAGUGAUGAAGGUCUUCGGAUCGUAAAACUCUGUUAUUAGGGAAGAACAUAUGUGUAAGUAACUGUGCACAUCUUGACGGUACCUAAUCAGAAAGCCACGGCUAACUACGUG
This 497-nucleotide ribosomal RNA is filed under the name uncultured bacterium. Its description in RNAcentral is "partial 16S ribosomal RNA". It matches the Rfam family "Bacterial small subunit ribosomal RNA", at positions 28 to 507 of the family's 1533-position model. The record is from RNAcentral.